GACGAACGCUGGCGGCGUGCUUAACACAUGCAAGUCGAACGGAAAGGCCCUGCUUUUGUGGGGUGCUCGAGUGGCGAACGGGUGAGUAACACGUGAGUAACCUGCCCUUGACUUUGGGAUAACUUCAGGAAACUGGGGCUAAUACCGGAUAGGAGCUCCUGCUGCAUGGUGGGGGUUGGAAAGUUUCGGCGGUUGGGGAUGGACUCGCGGCUUAUCAGCUUGUUGGUGGGGUAGUGGCUUACCAAGGCUUUGACGGGUAGCCGGCCUGAGAGGGUGAACGGCCACAUUGGGACUGAGAGACGGCCCAGACUGCUACGGGAGGCAGCAGUGGGGAAUAUUGCACAAUGGGCGGAAGCCUGAUGCAGCAACGCCGCGUGCGGGAUGACGGCCUGCGGGUUGUAAACCGCUUUCGCCUGUGACGAAGCGGGAGUGACGGUAAUGGGUAAAGAAGCACCGGCUAACUACGUG
This 468-nucleotide ribosomal RNA is filed under the name uncultured bacterium. RNAcentral describes it as "partial 16S ribosomal RNA". It matches the Rfam family "Bacterial small subunit ribosomal RNA", at positions 28 to 507 of the family's 1533-position model. The record is from RNAcentral.